GGGCGGUUAGCUCAGUGGGAGAGCGCUUCCCUGACACGGAAGAGGUCACUGGUUCAAUCCCAGUAUCGCCCA
This 72-nucleotide transfer RNA is filed under the name Thermomonospora cellulosilytica. It matches the Rfam family "tRNA". From Rfam's summary of the family: Transfer RNA (tRNA) molecules are approximately 80 nucleotides in length. Their secondary structure includes four short double-helical elements and three loops (D, anti-codon, and T loops). Further hydrogen bonds mediate the characteristic L-shaped molecular structure. tRNAs have two regions of fundamental functional importance: the anti-codon, which is responsible for specific mRNA codon recognition, and the 3' end, to which the tRNAs corresponding amino acid is attached (by aminoacyl-tRNA synthetases). tRNAs cope with the degeneracy of the genetic code in two manners: having more than one tRNA (with a specific anti-codon) for a particular amino acid; and 'wobble' base-pairing, i.e. permitting non-standard base-pairing at the 3rd anti-codon position. RNAcentral also lists the same sequence under 1 other name. Lineage: Bacteria; Bacillati; Actinomycetota; Actinomycetes; Streptosporangiales; Thermomonosporaceae. The record is from Rfam by way of RNAcentral.